RNAcentral lists this transfer RNA (63 nucleotides) under Chalcopteryx rutilans. Its description in RNAcentral is "tRNA-Ser". Lineage: Eukaryota; Metazoa; Arthropoda; Insecta; Odonata; Polythoridae. The record is from RNAcentral.
AACUAAUAAGCUUUAAGAAGCAUGUGUUUUGAAAGCACAAGAUAAAGAAACCUUUAUUAGUUU